CUAAGAAUAUUCCGCAAUGGACGAAAGUCUGACGGAGCGACGCCGCGUGGAUGAGGAAGGCCGAAAGGUUGUAAAAUCCUUUUGCUGGGGAAGAAUAAGCAUGGGAAGAAAUGCCCGUGCGAUGACAUGAACCGGCGAAUAAGCCCCGGCUAACUACGUGCCAGCAGCCGCGGUAACACGUAGGGGGCAAGCGUUGUUCGGAAUUAUUGGGCGUAAAGGGCAUGUAGGCGGUUUCGUAAGCCUGGCGUGAAAUGGUAAGGCUCAACCUUAUCCUGCGCUGGGUACUGCGAGACUAGAAUCACUGAGGGGGAAUCAGAAUUCCAGGUGUAGGGGUGAAAUCUGUAGAUAUCUGGAAGAAUACCAGUGGCGAAGGCGGAUUCCUGGCAGAUGAUUGACGCUGAGGUGCGAAAGUGCGGGGAGCAAACAGG
Molecule: ribosomal RNA, 428 nt
Filed under: uncultured Treponema sp.
Lineage: Bacteria; Pseudomonadati; Spirochaetota; Spirochaetia; Treponematales; Treponemataceae
Description: bacterial SSU rRNA
Rfam family: Bacterial small subunit ribosomal RNA
Source: RNAcentral